AAAGAGAAGGAAGCAUCACCAUUCACAUUGGCGACAGCCACUAAUAAUAACAUUAGUGUGUAUGAUCCCCAUUACCGAGCGUCUUCGUUUUCACUGAGGAUCUUGCUUACAAAGAAAGAGAGAAAUAAUGAAGCACAAGACAGAGCUGAGCGUCCUAAAUCACCCAUCGGAAGACACCUUAAGAGAGCAGAGGCUCGAAGACACCCCAAACCGACACCUUAAGAGAGCAGAGGCUCGAAUACACCCCAAACCGACUGAAAUCAGCCAUUGGCGACACCUAACCCAGAACAACACACAAACAGUGACUGAAUCGUCGAGGAUCUUGGAUCUGGCAAAAAUAGAUAAAUAAGGAAAACAACAUCUUGAGGCUUUUGGCAUUGCCACAAAUCCACCAAUUGGGAGUUGCAGCAAAACUCUCACCAAAAGUGGAACACCGACAUCAAAACACCACACUGGUCCCUCCUUAACAUAGGUCCGCUCGAGAGAAGAGAAAAAAGCCACGAACGCUCAGAUAAAUCCCCUGAAAAGGAUUAUUAAACCGAGAGGAUGGAAAAAAAAGGAGAACAAGGAGAAGGACGAUCAACCAUCGAUGACAGGUGUUUGACCGUCUAAAACGAGAAACUGAAAGAAAGCGUUGGAGCGACGCUUAGGGUUUCUUGUCAAAUUUUCAGUUCACAAACCUAAAAUGUCAAUUACCAAUCUAAUGGAGUUGAAAAUUAUUAGUGUAAAUUUAAAUAUAAAUUGUUUAUAAAUUAAAUUUAAAUUAUCAAUUAAAUAUACUAAGCUAAAA
Molecule: long non-coding RNA, 790 nt
Filed under: Gossypium raimondii (Peruvian cotton)
Lineage: Eukaryota; Viridiplantae; Streptophyta; Magnoliopsida; Malvales; Malvaceae
Description: long non-coding RNA (GRAI_LNC007143)
Source: RNAcentral